GCCAUGUGGUGUAGUGGUUUGAGCAUUGGACUAUGACUCUAAAGAUCAGGGUUCGAUUCCCGCUUCGGCA
Phrynosoma platyrhinos (Desert horned lizard) is the source of this 70-nucleotide non-coding RNA. The record is from the annotation of a GenBank genome assembly. NCBI's taxonomy places the organism in Eukaryota, Metazoa, Chordata, Lepidosauria, Squamata, Phrynosomatidae.